GACGAACGCUGGCGGCGUGCUUAACACAUGCAAGUCGAGCGAGGCCCCUCCUUCGGGAGGGUGUCCUAGCGGCGAACGGGUGAGUAACACGUGGGCAACCUGCCCCCGGCUCUGGGAUAACUCCAAGAAAUUGGGGCUAAUACCGGAUAUGACCGCUGACCGCAUGGUCUGGUGGUGGAAAGAUUUAUCGGCUGGGGAUGGGCCCGCGGCCUAUCAGCUUGUUGGUGGGGUAGUGGCCUACCAAGGCGACGACGGGUAGCCGGCCUGAGAGGGUGACCGGCCACACUGGGACUGAGACACGGCCCAGACUCCUACGGGAGGCAGCAGUGGGGAAUAUUGCGCAAUGGGCGGAAGCCUGACGCAGCGACGCCGCGUGGGGGAUGACGGCCUUCGGGUUGUAAACCUCUUUCAGCAGGGACGAAGCGAAAGUGACGGUACCUGCAGAAGAAGCACCGGCCAACUACGUGCCAGCCGCCGCCGUAA
Molecule: ribosomal RNA, 483 nt
Filed under: uncultured bacterium
Lineage: Bacteria
Description: partial 16S ribosomal RNA
Rfam family: Bacterial small subunit ribosomal RNA
Source: RNAcentral